Melanotaenia boesemani (Boeseman's rainbowfish) is the source of this 114-nucleotide small nucleolar RNA. RefSeq annotates it as small nucleolar RNA SNORD67. NCBI's taxonomy places the organism in Eukaryota, Metazoa, Chordata, Actinopteri, Atheriniformes, Melanotaeniidae. The record is from RefSeq and is a predicted model, not a curated record. The transcript has a single exon.
UGUGAGAGUGAUGAGUUGCACUAAUCAGUUGGGGUGCCUGCUGCAGUGGCAUCAGCACCCCAAUCUGAUCCAACAUGAGGACACGCUGUGUGCACAGGGGCCAUCUGACUCAAC